RNAcentral lists this ribosomal RNA (497 nucleotides) under uncultured bacterium. Its description in RNAcentral is "partial 16S ribosomal RNA". It matches the Rfam family "Bacterial small subunit ribosomal RNA", at positions 28 to 507 of the family's 1533-position model. The record is from RNAcentral.
GAUGAACGCUGGCGGCGUGCCUAAUACAUGCAAGUCGAGCGAACGGACGAGAAGCUUGCUUCUCUGAUGUUAGCGGCGGACGGGUGAGUAACACGUGGAUAACCUACCUAUAAGACUGGGAUAACUUCGGGAAACCGUAGCUAAUACCGGAUAAUAUUUUGAACCGCAUGGUUCAAAAGUGAAAGACGGUCUUGCUGUCACUUAUAGAUGGAUCCGCGCUGCAUUAGCUAGUUGGUAAGGUAACGGCUUACCAAGGCAACGAUGCAUAGCCGACCUGAGAGGGCGAUCGGCCACACUGGAACUGAGACACGGUCCAGACUCCUACGGGAGGCAGCAGUAGGGAAUCUUCCGCAAUGGGCGAAAGCCUGACGGAGCAACGCCGCGUGAGUGAUGAAGGUCUUCGGAUCGUAAAACUCUGUUAUUAGGGAAGAACAUAUGUGUAAGUAACUGUGCACAUCUUGACGGUACCUAAUCAGAAAGCCGCGGCUAACUACGUG